RNAcentral lists this ribosomal RNA (301 nucleotides) under uncultured bacterium. Its description in RNAcentral is "partial 16S ribosomal RNA". It matches the Rfam family "Bacterial small subunit ribosomal RNA", at positions 509 to 808 of the family's 1533-position model. The record is from RNAcentral.
CAGCCGCCGCGGUAAUACGUAGGUCCCGAGCGUUGUCCGGAUUUAUUGGGCGUAAAGGGAGCGCAGGCGGUUUAGUAAGUCUGAAGUUAAAGGCAUUGGCUCAACCAAUGUAUGCUUUGGAAACUGUUAGACUUGAGUGCAGAAGGGGAGAGUGGAAUUCCAUGUGUAGCGGUGAAAUGCGUAGAUAUAUGGAGGAACACCGGUGGCGAAAGCGGCUCUCUGGUCUGUCACUGACGCUGAGGCUCGAAAGCGUGGGUAGCGAACAGGAUUAGAUACCCCCGUAGUCCAUGUCUCUUAUACA